This 253-nucleotide ribosomal RNA is filed under the name uncultured bacterium. RNAcentral describes it as "partial 16S ribosomal RNA". It matches the Rfam family "Bacterial small subunit ribosomal RNA", at positions 524 to 776 of the family's 1533-position model. The record is from RNAcentral.
UACGUAGGGAGCAAGCGUUGUCCGGAAUCAUUGGGCGUAAAGCGCGCGUAGGUGGCUUCAUAAGUCCGUUGUGAAAGUCAAAGGCUCAACCUUUGAAAGCCGAUGGAUACUGUGGAGCUAGAGUACGGAAGAGGCGAGUGGAAUUCCUGGUGUAGCGGUGGAAUGCGCAGAUAUCAGGAGGAACACCAAUGGCGAAGGCAGCUCGCUGGGACGUGACUGACGCUGAGACGCGAAAGCGUGGGGAGCAAACAGG